RNAcentral lists this ribosomal RNA (327 nucleotides) under uncultured eukaryote. RNAcentral's name for it is "partial 18S ribosomal RNA". It matches the Rfam family "Eukaryotic small subunit ribosomal RNA", at positions 1470 to 1796 of the family's 1831-position model. The record is from RNAcentral.
CCCUUAGAUGUUCUGGGCCGCACGCGCGCUACACUGAUGCAUUCAACAAGCCUAGCCUUGACCGAGAGGUCCGGGUAAUCUUUGAAACUGCAUCGUGAUGGGGCUAGAUUAUUGCAAUUAUUAAUCUUCAACGAGGAAUGCCUAGUAAGCGUGAUUCAUCAAAUCGCGUUGAUUACGUCCCUGCCCUUUGUACACACCGCCCGUCGCUCCUACCGAUUGAAGUUUUCGGUGAGUUGACAGGAGGAUUUUUUGAAACUGGUUCGCCAGUGGAUUUUAGAUCCAAAUGCCAACGAAUCGAUGGCUUUAGAGGAAGGAGAAGUCGUAACA